RNAcentral lists this ribosomal RNA (468 nucleotides) under uncultured bacterium. RNAcentral's name for it is "partial 16S ribosomal RNA". It matches the Rfam family "Bacterial small subunit ribosomal RNA", at positions 28 to 507 of the family's 1533-position model. The record is from RNAcentral.
GACGAACGCUGGCGGCGUGCUUAACACAUGCAAGUCGAACGGAAAGGCCCUGCUUUUGUGGGGUGCUCGAGUGGCGAACGGGUGAGUAACACGUGAGUAACCUGCCCUUGACUUUGGGAUAACUUCAGGAAACUGGGGCUAAUACCGGAUAGGAGCUCCUGCUGCAUGGUGGGGGUUGGAAAGUUUCGGCGGUUGGGGAUGGACUCGCGGCUUAUCAGCUUGUUGGUGGGGUAGUGGCUUACCAAGGCUUUGACGGGUAGCCGGCCUGAGAGGGUGACCGGCCACAUUGGGACUGAGAUACGGCCCAGACUCCUACGGGAUGCAGCAGUGGGUAAUAUUGCACAAUGGGCGGAAGCCUGAUGCAGCAACGCCGCGUGCGGGAUGACGGCCUUCGGGUUGUAAACCGCUUUCGCCUGUGACGAAGCGUGAGUGACGGUAAUGGGUAAAGAAGCACCGGCUAACUACGUG